GAGAGAUAGAGAGAGGAGUGGAGCAGGAGUUGGGUAAAAGGGGCUGAAGUCCUGCGUCUUCUCCGCCGCAGCCGCUGCGCGUAAAAGUCGCCUCAGAUCCACAGAUUGAACCCGGUGCCAAACCGUGUUUUACGCCGUGAAUCGUUGUGCGGUUGAAACAAACCAACUGACAGCGACACACCCUGCUGAAGCUCCGGGACUCCGCCGAGCAGUGGCCGAAGGAGGAAGCCUGAACUCCGCCGGGUCCGCUCGGGAUGGGCUGUCCACGCCGGAGCGACCCGGCCGCCGGUCAAGGAAUCUGUGAGCAGAGGAAGGGAAGAGGAGUCUUGCCUCGUCCUCCGUCACCCCGGGCUGUCUGCUUCAAGCUCUCACGCUCACUGGCCGACUCCCGGCACCUCCCCUCGCACCCUCGGCCCCCAAAUGGCUGACGCACAGCAGUUCUUCACUGGCGAGCUUUAUGUUCCUGUACACAUGCUAAAGCUGCCAGCUGAAGAACUGUUCUGGUCUGCCCUGCCCCGGACGACUCGAGGAGAGGAAGCUGACAGCUGAAGGUGGGAGGGGGACUGAGGAAGGAGGCAGUUUCACACACUCGGUAGUUAAACUGGACUUGUACAACCGUUAUUUAUAUUCUUGUGCUAAUCACAUGUAAGGUUGUUAAAAAUAUUAAUAUGCUCUUGUCUAAGUUUAAUGGUGACAGAUUUGCAACUUUAGUUUUAGUUAAUGUGUCAAACUGGUAAUCUGCUGGUUAAAAGCACCAAUAAAGUAUUAAAAGUCCUGCAUAUUAUUUUCUUGUGUCCUAAAUAUUUACUGUAAUGUAAGUUUUAAAAUGUUUUAAUGUUUUUUUUUCGCAAAGAGCUGCUGUCUGGAAAGUAUAAUUUCAAACUUCAACAUUCUUCAGCUAAUGACUGAUGAUUUUAAUUGUUCGUCCAUCCGUCUCUUAUUCAUCUGUAUCUUCUGUGAUAUUAAACACAUCUUGAGAAAACA
Molecule: long non-coding RNA, 984 nt
Organism: Paralichthys olivaceus (Japanese flounder)
Lineage: Eukaryota; Metazoa; Chordata; Actinopteri; Pleuronectiformes; Paralichthyidae
Source: RefSeq, a predicted model, not a curated record